GUCUUUCCACGGUUCACUCCGAGAGGAUGACAGAGUGGAGAGGGAGUGGGGAAACUCACCAGAAACUCACUCUCAAAAAUUGACAGUAUUCUCAACAGUGAUUAUUAUCUCUUCGUGCAGCUUCUCUCCUGUUUGCAAUUUCCAGCACAAGUCCCCCCUCCACCUUCCGGUAACCCACCCCGAUAGUCACUCUCCCACUCUCCACUCAGCCCACUCACCGAGCUCAGGAUGAGCUGCUGGGUUUUAGGGUGGUCAUGUGACCUGGCCUGGCCAAUCCGCUGGCGAAUCCCCCAGAUCGGGAAGUGGUUCUGGAUGCACCCAUGACAAGAGUCCAAGCAGAGUGAAUCCCAUCUCUGGAGCAGGUGUGGCUGGGAGAGAUGAUUCCCGGGGGCAGGUGCUGCUGGAUGUCGACCCAACAGCGUCCUGCCCCUUGUUGCUGCCAGCACAGCACAGCCCCCAGUCUAGAGGGAGCCAUUUACUUGCUUUCCCAUCGUCCUUUGCAUGGACAAGAAAUGUAUCUGGCUUGGGAACUUCUGGAAGCCCCUUUAUCACUCCAAAG
This 559-nucleotide long non-coding RNA is filed under the name Mustela putorius furo (domestic ferret). RNAcentral describes it as "lncRNA (ENSMPUG00000025739.1)". Lineage: Eukaryota; Metazoa; Chordata; Mammalia; Carnivora; Mustelidae. The record is from RNAcentral.